RNAcentral lists this ribosomal RNA (253 nucleotides) under uncultured bacterium. RNAcentral's name for it is "partial 16S ribosomal RNA". It matches the Rfam family "Bacterial small subunit ribosomal RNA", at positions 524 to 776 of the family's 1533-position model. The record is from RNAcentral.
UACGUAGGUGGCAAGCGUUGUCCGGGUUUAUUGGGUUUAAAGGGUGCGUAGGCGGCUUUGUAAGUCAGUGGUGAAAUAUGGCAGCUCAACUGUCAAGGUGCCAUUGAUACUGCGAGGCUUGAGUACAGAUGAGGUAGGCGGAAUUGACGGUGUAGCGGUGAAAUGCGUAGAUAUCUGGAGGAACACCGGUGGCGAAGGCGGCAUCCUGGACCGAUACUGACGCUGAGGAGCGAAAGCCAGGGGAGCAAACGGG